ACGGCGUUUGAAACUUCGACCACAAUUGCUCUCAUGCAGCGUGUCCUGUCUUUUUUGAGGCGGGCUAAUCGGUCAACUCGAUUUAUUAGCCGGGCUCCUACCCUCAGCAAAUGGGAUCGACCAGGUCCAAUGGACUAGGCCUUCUCCAUGCCGUGGAUUUUUCUAGUUAUGUUGAGUUGGCCACUAGCGGAUGAGGUCCCCAUCUAGGGUUUUAGACCCGACCCUUCCACGUAGUAAUGCUCUUGCUUCCUAUAUUCUAUUGUGUUAAAAGCUUCUUGGUCAGCAGCCUUGGCAUUGGGGAGGUUGGUAUUUUUCUGGUUUGCGGGGAGGCGAAACUCAUGCAUCAUCCAAUCAGUUUUGGUGCCUUUUCCUGCACUUCCACGGUAGUAUACUAAGGAUUUCUUCAGCCCAAUACAGUCAUGGCCUUCUCCAUUGUUAGAAUAUAUUGGCUUGUCUAUGCCUGUGGCUUUCCAAAAUCCGGACCUCGUGACUCUGUUGGGUCUUAUGCUAUUCCUGUAUUUUCUUCCUCUUUUGCAAAAGAAGUACCAUUCCUUGUCUGUAAGAGUAUUAAUAUUUUCUGCAUAUUUACAAGACAUAUCAGAGGAAGAAGAUUUCUCAAGCAUAUAUACAAAGAUUUGGGACACAAAAUGGGUUGUUGUACUGAAUAAAAGUGGGCUUGAAGUAUAUGUAUAUAUUGCUUUCCCCCUAUGAAAAAGGGUUUUCAUUUUU
Long non-coding RNA from Vitis vinifera (wine grape), 729 nucleotides. RefSeq lists it as uncharacterized. The transcript is spliced from 2 exons. The record is from RefSeq and is a predicted model, not a curated record. NCBI's taxonomy places the organism in Eukaryota, Viridiplantae, Streptophyta, Magnoliopsida, Vitales, Vitaceae.